GAACAAAUUAUCCAACUUGAGGAUUCGCAAGGUAGAGUCACCCUGAAAGUAUCAAAUGAGUUGGCAGAAAGGAUUGCAACUGGAAACGGAGGACCUGUUUGGUUCCUCUGGGGUGGGCAGAGUCCCAGAGGGCACGGUGGUCUCCACUGCACUUCAUCCAAGUUCCCAGCCAGAGGCCAUCCAGCCAACAAGGCACACACCUGUAAAGACGCCAGCCCCAGCUCCUCCGCCUUCAGCUGUUUCAGCCUCCUCCACCAGACCAAGGCCAGCGACUCCAGAAACACUGAAAGAUAUUGCUGACAUGCAAAAAAGUAUGCUACAUGCCUUAAAUAACUUGUCUAAAGAAUAAAGCCUUACAAUGAGUGGCCAUUUGUUUUGCAAUAUUAUGCAUGAACACAGGGUUCCUACUG
RNAcentral lists this long non-coding RNA (410 nucleotides) under Sparus aurata (gilthead seabream). RNAcentral describes it as "lncRNA (ENSSAUG00010006266.1)". The record is from RNAcentral. Lineage: Eukaryota; Metazoa; Chordata; Actinopteri; Spariformes; Sparidae.